AAGUCUGACCUGCCCACUGAAAUUAUUUAAAUGGCCGCAGUAUUUUAACUGUGCAAAGGUAGCAUAAUCAUUAGUCUUUUAAUUGAAGGCUGGUAUGAACGGUUGGACGAGGUAUAAGCUGUUUCAUAUAAAUUUAUAAUAGAAUUUUAUAUUUUAGUCAAAAAGCUAAAAUAUAUUUAAAAGACGAGAAGACCCUAUAAAUCUUUAUAUUUUGUGUUGUUUAAAUUUUUUGGAAUCGGUUUAUUUUUAUAAUAUAAAAUAUUUUGUUGGGGUGAUAUUAAAAUUUAAUUAACUUUUAAUUAUUUAAAAUCAUUAAUUUAUGAGUUAUUGAUCCAUUAAUAGUGAUUAUAAGAUUAAGUUACUUUAGGGAUAACAGCGUAAUUUUUUUGGAGAGUUCAUAUCGAUAAAAAAGUUUGCGACCUCGAUGUUGGAUUAAGAUAUAAUUUUAGGUGUAGUCGCUUAAAU
Molecule: ribosomal RNA, 465 nt
Filed under: Bactrocera oleae (olive fruit fly)
Lineage: Eukaryota; Metazoa; Arthropoda; Insecta; Diptera; Tephritidae
Description: partial large subunit ribosomal RNA
Rfam family: Bacterial large subunit ribosomal RNA
Source: RNAcentral